This is a transfer RNA of 85 nucleotides. It matches the Rfam family "tRNA". Rfam says of the family: Transfer RNA (tRNA) molecules are approximately 80 nucleotides in length. Their secondary structure includes four short double-helical elements and three loops (D, anti-codon, and T loops).
GCUCCCGUAGUCUAACCUGGAUAGCUGCUGGAAAGGACAGAGCCCUGCGGAGGCUCUAAUCCGAGUUCAAAUCUCGGCGGGAGCA